UUCCCAUGCGCUUGAGCACGCGGCUUUUUUUUUAUUAUUUGUGAUUUCGCGCUUAAUAAAAUAAUAAUAAUACGAAUUAGCAAUGGGUGAUUAGUGUUUAAAUGUGUUUUUUAUUGUUUUCAAAGCAUACAUAGGUUUUUGGUCGCGUCGCUUAAAUCUCGUGUGUGUGUGUGUGUAAGUGAAAUGCGCAGCAGCCCAGCAAAGGGUUUUUUGUUGUUUAUUUUGAUUAAAACAAUAAAAAGCGGUUAAAUAUGAAUAUUUAGUGGUUUUGUUGAAAUAAAGUGUGCUUUAUUUAAUGUAAAAUGAUCAACACACGUGAAAUUGUGAUGGCGCAAGGGGCCUGUAUGUAAUAACUGUGUAUAUAUGUACAUAUGUACAUAUAUACAUAUGUACGCCCUUUACGUAUUAAGUGUGUAUUUGCGUAUAAAAUCAAUCUUCCAACCACUUGAAGGUUGAUUUUCAUCAUCUUUUGGCACAGAUGGUUAAUAUUACAUUUGUCACAAUAUAUGGAGAGCCAACCAUAGAAACUCAUUCAUAGUCUGUGCAUCAUCGACGACGACGACUGCCCCGGCAUCAGGGGGCAUCAAAGUGGAAUUGGAUUCAUCUGGAAGAGGCGGGUCAUAAUUGAAGAUAUGAUGCUCCAUGCCCCAUGCCCCAUACCCCAGCCAUGAGCAAAGGUGACACCAAAGGGAAGACCUUCGACUGGCAAUAAAAUAAAUGCCAUUUACUGAUGAGUCAUCAGCAUAAUUUUUACGAUUUGUCCCAUUCGAUGAAUAAACAAAUAAACCAAUGGACACGGGAGCUGGGACCCGGGACUCAGGACCCUCUGGAUUGGACUCUAGUUUGAGCGUGUCACGAAAACAUUUCGCAUGCAUUGACUUUUUAUGGCAGCCCCAAACCGAGUGAACCGAACGCACGAAUCGAAAAGCCACAUGGACCGACGAGAGAGAGAGGCGGAGAGGGGCACACAGAGAGGGGUAUCCACAAAUAAUGCAAAAUCAUUUAGUGGAACUCCUAGGCACACACACCGUACAGAUGCUCGCACCCCCCUCCCGCCUCAAAGUCAUAAAAUCCGGCACCGAAUGAAAUUCUCAUCAAGACGCAAGUUGGCACAAUUUCAGUUUGGCGCUGAAGCAACUUGAAAACACGACCAAAAUGAGCCCGAAUCGCAGUAGGAGUCGUUGCCACAGCCCACAGGACUCUCGGCAGUGGUCAGGCAUGGGGCCAGCAUCGUGCUGCUGCCGCUGCCGCUGCUACUCCUGCUCCUGGCAAUCGCGCGUGACUAACGUAAUCAGCUCACGUAACGCCUGAAUGAGAUGAGAUGAAAUCAGCAUACACUCCGGGCCACGCAGGACUAUGCUCUCCUACGCUGCCGUCGCUCCGCACCGAUUCCGACUGCAUAAAUGUCGAAUUUAUACGAAAAUGAAGCGGCGCAGGCCAUUCGACCAGCUGCUGGGGCAUCAUUCACACGGCCACCAGAUGCUUUGAGGGGUAAGUACCACCCCCCUAACGAAAUGUUUUGUAGAUCUUUGACACGCGAUACUGCCCUGGCCGGGCCGUCUUUGGUGGGUGUUCGGAUGCAAAACGAUCGCUGGAGCUGGGGAUCUUGGGAGCUUAAAGGAGGGACAAUGGAGAGAUCUAUAAAUGGGAUUCUUGGACAUUAACGAAAGAGGAGAUUUGUAAAUGGGAACCUUUUGGAAGCCUAUAAGUUAUAUCUAAUCGUAUCUACUGGCAGGAAUCAAGUACUUAUAUGAUUACUGCCUUCGAACAAGCGAGCAGAGCGGAUUCCAUUUAAAUGCAAAGACCUAUCAUUAGACUCUUACAUCUACAAUUCCCCAACGCCCGCGCGCGAGAGAGAGAGAGAUCAACAAUUGUGGUGGCUUCAGCGGCGAUUUAAGCGCUGGGCACACGCAAUCCCCCUGCCCCGUCUAUGGAGAGCCUGCCCUAUAAAGUAGAUUUGCAUGCGACGCCCCAGAGACCCCUCUUGGCUGUGGGGCGGGGGGCUGGCAUCCCCAAUUGAAUGGGGGACUGGCGCGAAUCCGUUGAUGUGAUGACAGGAGUGGCUGCAAAUGGGGAAAAACGCACAGAACACAAGAUAUCUCUGGCAUGUCGUCCUAGCAGGCUGUUUACUGAAGCCUCCGCUGAAGUACUGCUGAAUAGGGGCUGUAGAAGCGACUCAGGAAGGCCGUCGAAUCUAAGACCUGGAAAUUAUGAUUGUUACCCAGCCAGCAGCUCAGGGCAAAGCUGUUGUCCGGAUGUUUAAUGCGUGGCAUUUCGAUUCCUACCCACGUCCACCACGCGGCACAGGUUCCUAUUGAGGUUGUGGAGAUUCUUCUGUCCAUCCACCAUCCACCGAUAGCUGGUGUAGGCAAAGGGAUCGUGGCUUCCAGCAGAAGAAAGGCAGUGAUGUCCUGCUCCAAGCUCUGCAAGCUAAUAGGUCCAUGCACUUCAGAAUAGCGUUGAUCGCCAGGACCACGGUAUACGGUGGCUGAAUGUAGAACGGCCUCACGGACAUAGGUUCCUCCAGCAUUUUCCGAGAAUACUGCAGGACUAACGGCUCCGAAAAUGGCAAUUUCCAUUCGAGAGAGAUCGUAGCGGGGGUCCAAGAAGGAACAGAGUAUCUGUUUUUGGAUGAUUAUCGAGUCUUUAAGAUUCAUAUACAAUGGUGCA
Molecule: small RNA, 2670 nt
Filed under: Drosophila pseudoobscura pseudoobscura
Lineage: Eukaryota; Metazoa; Arthropoda; Insecta; Diptera; Drosophilidae
Description: GA30535
Source: RNAcentral